UACGGAGGGGGCUAGCGUUGUUCGGAAUUACUGGGCGUAAAGGGCGUGGAGGCGGCUUGCCAAGUCAGGCGUGAAAGCCCCGGGCUUAACCUGGGAACUGCGUUUGAGACUGGCAGGCUAGAGGUUGGAAGAGGAGAGUGGAAUUCCCAGUGUAGAGGUGAAAUUCGUAGAUAUUGGGAAGAACACCGGUGGCGAAGGGGGCUCUCGGGUCCACACCUGACGUUGAGGCGCGAAAGCGUGGGGAGCAAACAGG
Molecule: ribosomal RNA, 253 nt
Filed under: uncultured bacterium
Lineage: Bacteria
Description: partial 16S ribosomal RNA
Rfam family: Bacterial small subunit ribosomal RNA
Source: RNAcentral